Small nucleolar RNA from Mangifera indica (mango), 107 nucleotides. The record is from RefSeq and is a predicted model, not a curated record. Lineage: Eukaryota; Viridiplantae; Streptophyta; Magnoliopsida; Sapindales; Anacardiaceae.
AUUUGAUGAUGUGGGCAGUUCAUGCAUAACAUCUUAAAGUGCUCUUAAUAUUCAUAUAAAGUCUUACCAUUAUUUUGUCGAAUGCUAUAUAUCUCUGUUUUGAUGUU